UAUGACAUAUUUAUGUAGCGUUGACCAGUCACCUACAAGUCAUUCAGAUUGCAAGAAAGAGCAGCUCUCUCUCUCUUGGCUUCAUAUCCAUGGCCUCUAAAAUACUCUACAUCCCAUUGACCAGUCAGUUUUUUCCAAAAUUAUGAAAUGGAGCAAUGCUACAGCGUCUUCUUGGGUCCUUCGACUCCUUCUCUCGUCCUCCUCAGCUGACGUGGAAUCUUAAAAAUCUGCAUCAAAAUAGGACAUUAAACAGCUUUUAUUAAAAAAAAAAAAAAAAUUAAAAUCAAACUAAAAGUCUGGAAUACACUUCCCGUCCCUCCAAAAUUUUCAGCUCCUCUCUCUCUCUCUGUGCAACUUCCGUACGCUCGCAGGAAACCGCCGCUUAACAACUGUCUCUCUCCCUCUCGCUCGCUCUCCGGUCUUCCACCAGCGGCGUUGUUUCUGUCUUGCCGUUUGUUCUCUCUCGGCGGUCGGCCACCUUCCACCGGGCCAUCCUUUUCCGGCGUUCUGUCUCCGGCAGAUUUAGCGGCCAUCCUCCACCGUCAGACACCACAUUUUUCUGUUACUCAUUGUGGCUACCUUUUGUUCUUCUAAAUGGACAUUUCAAGCUCACACUUGGAGAAUGAGGGUGAAAUUGAAUCUUUGCGGAAACAUAUUUCAAGUGACGAUGCAUCAACCGAUGAAGACAACCCUGAAAUUGGUUAGCUUCGAAUUAUUUUUCUUUGACCCACCAAUUAUAGCUUUGAACUUGGUAUUAAUUUUUUGGGAUAAUUACACUUUACCCCCUUGUUUUAUCCACGGGGUGGCGAUUUACCCCCCAAUGUACCAAAAUUGUUAGAUGACCCUCCCGAACUUAUCAACAUGUGUCAAGUUUAACCAUCCGUCCACUUACUCGUCAGUAUGGACGGAAAAUCAGUCACAUGCGUUACACGUGACCGUUUAAUGCAUUUUUCCUUCCCAAAAUACCCCCGUCCCAAACAGCCUUCAUACCAGUACAUGCAUUAAAAAAAAAAAAAAAAGGAAAAAAACCCAUUCAACCCGUCUGUCCAGCUGCUCCAACACGGUCCAGUUGCUCCUCGAAGUUGCUCGUGCCGCACGGGAACACGGCGCGGUGACUCACCAGUGCAACUAUCGCUGAAAGAGGAAUUCUCCGGCUUGUUGUAUCUUUGUGAAUGAAUGGUGAGAAAGAACAAAUUUGUUGAGAUUCUUCCGAUUAAUGUUGGUUGUUUAGGUGCUUGAACUUAUUGCAAGACAAAGCACGCCCGUGGUCAUUUAGGUAGCUACACGAUUGAUAGCCUCGUAAGUAUCAUGAUAUAGGUAUUUAUCAUUUACUUGAAUUAGGUGGUUAUUUUAUCAGAAUUUUAACAUUGCGGGUCGGACGUGUAAAAUCUGUAAUAGCAAAUGGAGUUAAGGAGAUAUGGUUGAGCAAUGAAGACAUAAGAGCUUAUGGUAAAUAAUUGUGAUCUUUCCAUCAUUAUGUGUGUUACUGGGUUAAAGUACUUGCCGAUGUAAAGUUCUGUUUCUGCAGGUUCUUUUCAUGAAGAUAAUAUUGUAGUUUUUGGAAGUACCUUUUUAUUAUCUUAGAUAAAGUAGUUUUAUAUAUAUAUAAACCCAACCCACAGAAUAUUAGACAUGGACACGCAAAUAUCUAAGUAAUUAGUAAAGUGACAGAUUGUUCAUAUGCAUGACUCUCUCUUCAAAUCCAUGAUGGUCAGGCAAGCAGGUCAACACAGAAAGUGGCCAGAUGGCGAGAACCAAACGAUAAUAUAGGAUUGGCUCUGUCAUGCUAUGUUUUUUGAACAUGAAACAGAGGACGUGGAGAAUUUUUUUUUUUAUUUUUUAUUUAUUUUUUUAUUUAUGUCAAGGUAAGUUUUCCUACAACAGCAUAUUCAUCAAGAGCUACUGCACUGCAAUCUUUGUGGUUGCCCAGACCAGACCGUGCCAAACCUCCAUCAACUAACCACAUGUCAUGAUCACCAAGCUCUCAAUACGGGAAGUAUCACUAACCUAUGUUCUUUUUGAAGUAUCUACUGCAGAGAUUGGUACAUUGGUGCACUCACUGCACCAACGCCGCACCCAGAACACUUGCUGGCCACGAUCGGGAUAGACCGCCUUUGGAUUGCGAUAGAUUGCCCAACGGCUCUUCCUUCCUGUUUUAGUGCACUGUCGGGUGUGUCUUUCAUUCGGUGUUGAAUAUCUAAAGGAAAAAGUGUGAUCCCUAAGUGCGUGUUUCUCGGUUCUUCAGGUCUGGAAGAUCACGUGUCUUCUGCUGCAUGAUAUGGAAAGAAAACAUGUCUUGAUUUGGUGCACGGCUAUAGGUUAGAGAAUAACGGGUGUCGAUGCUGCAUGGAUUUGGAAAUGACGUGCAUAUCGGCCCUGCCCUUUAUGGAAAGUGGCAUGAGCCUUGAUUCUCACCCAUGGAUUCGGUGCUGCAAGUCUUUGUUUUUUUGGAGAGAAAUUGUAAGAGUUCGGUCCUGCAGAAAUUGAAAGGAACAUGCACGUCGUGGAAGAAUUGAAUUUACAGAUGGAGAUAUCGUGGAAGCCAUGCAUGAGAGAUAAAGGAUCCAUGAAUUGAGAAAUGAAGGAAGAGCCGACGUACUUGUUCUGCGAGAAUGGCCGUGUAAACCUAGACUCGAAGCUUAGUCCCACGCUGGAGUCGAAGCUCUUGAGCUAGACAGUUAGGGCUAGGAUGGUCUUGGUGUCGAUGGUACUUUGACAAGGAGAAAUGCAUUAGUUUACUACAUUGGACGCAUGUGCGGGUAUAAUAUUUGAUGGGGAUGGGGUAUUUUGGAAAGGAAAAAUGUAUUAAAUAGUCACGUGCAACGCACAUGACCGACUUUCCGUCCAAACAGACGGGUGAGUGGAUAGAAGGUUAAACUUGCCACACGUUGACAAGUUUGGGAGGGUCAUCUAACAAUUUUGGUACAUUGGGGGUAAGUUGCCAUCUCGUGGAUAAAACAGGGGGGUAAAGUGUAAUUAUACCUAAUUUUUUUAUGUGAUUUAGAGUUGGAUGAUAAAGAAGACAAUGGCCCACUAUAUGAAAUAAUAGAUGGGGAUGGUAAAGUUGAAGAACCUAAGAGCGGAAGUACGUCUAGUUCGUUGGAAGAAGUUAUAUCAUGGCCAUGUUAAAUGGCAUUCUCUUUACUAUUUGUUCUAGGAAGACAUUGGUCCCAGUUGGAUAUUUUGUUGUGGUACACAAUUAUUUCGGAUGCUGAAUGUAUAUAUAUUUGUACAGUUAAGGUGUGGAAUUUAUAUUUGAUGAGCAAUUUAAUAUAUA
Long non-coding RNA from Alnus glutinosa, 3277 nucleotides. RefSeq lists it as uncharacterized. The record is from RefSeq and is a predicted model, not a curated record. Lineage: Eukaryota; Viridiplantae; Streptophyta; Magnoliopsida; Fagales; Betulaceae. The transcript is spliced from 2 exons.